UUUGUUUAAGAAAUUGAAAUCUUUGUCAUACUCCAACAAGCCACAGCCUCUAAGCUCUCUAGUCAAUACGAAAUCACAGAGGACUUAAUCCAAACCUCUUGUAAAUGCAAAUAAAAGAAAGGUCAUGUUUAAGUCUUAAAUCAAUUCAUUGUUGAACCUUUUAAUACUUGUAGCAGAAAAUCAAGACAUUGAAAGAGGCUAAAUUAACAUGUUCUUAGUAACUUAUUCUUGUUCUUAAAUCUUCAUUAUCUUUUUCAAAGAGGCUAAAUUAACAUUAAUAAGAAAAGUACUAAUAAAACAGCAAUAACAGAAGCACAAAGCAAUAACAAAUAAAAAAUUAACUAAAUAGUUCACAUGAAAUACAAAAUUUAAUGACGAAGCAUAAAGCACUAAUUACUAGCAAACUCAAACCCUAAACUAGCGCUAAUCACUAGCAAACUCAAACCCUAAAUUAAUUUGGGAAAAUUUAAUUAAAGAAGAAAAGAAAGGGAGAGGAUUAUCUGUACCAGGCAGGGGCGGCAGUGACGAAGGAAAAGGAGGAGGAAGUGGAAGGACGGCGUACGGUACGGUGGACGGACGGAGACGGCAACGGCGAUGGUGGAUAUGGUGAUUCAACCUUCAAGGAAAGGAGAUGAAUGAAUCGCGUGUUUCUUUUCUUUUAUUUUCUGAAUCUAUUUGUUCUUUUUUUUUUUUUUGAAUUCUGGUGUCUCAUUUAGAUAUUUACAUUUAUAUAUUUUAGAAAAAUACUGUCAAAAUAUUUAAUUAAAGUAUAUAUUUUUUAAAAUGGGAUGAAAGAAAGUAUAUAUGAAAAGAAAU
This 816-nucleotide long non-coding RNA is filed under the name Trifolium pratense (red clover). Its description in RNAcentral is "long non-coding RNA (TPRA_LNC013794)". The record is from RNAcentral. Lineage: Eukaryota; Viridiplantae; Streptophyta; Magnoliopsida; Fabales; Fabaceae.